This is a non-coding RNA of Exophiala sideris, 141 nucleotides long. Lineage: Eukaryota; Fungi; Ascomycota; Eurotiomycetes; Chaetothyriales; Herpotrichiellaceae. The record is from the annotation of a GenBank genome assembly.
GUUCGAAUAGUGUAGUGGUUAUCACGCGUAAGUUUUGGACUUUUUCUCAAACAUAGUCAUUUUCUAACCCCUAUCAAAGAUCGUUCACACCUUGUGAGCCCAAAUCCGAUGAGGUCCCAGGUUCGAAACCUGGUUCGAACA